AACACAUGAUGAGGGCACAUUCUCAAUAAGUCCUUGAAUUUCACCCAUGCAUCAUAUAAAGUCUCUAAAUCGAUCUAGGCAAAGGAAGAAAUUUCAUUCCUCAACUU
Molecule: non-coding RNA, 107 nt
Organism: Gossypium hirsutum (cotton)
Lineage: Eukaryota; Viridiplantae; Streptophyta; Magnoliopsida; Malvales; Malvaceae
Source: Rfam